GAAAGAUUUCAGGAUGGACAGGAGACUGCAAACAAAGCCCCUCUCACUGGGCAGGAGAGUCAAAUGUUUCCCCAACUUCUCCAAAGACGGUCUUUGACAAAUCUUCAGGACAAAACCUCAAGCUCAUGCGCUUUCCUGAACAGAGGAAGUAUCCUUUGCCUUUCCUGUGGAAUUGAUGAGACCAAAUGUCGUCAAACCUACUUCCAAGGCUUCUGAAGAGCCGCCAUAGUAUAAUGUGUCUUGUACCAUCUCAGUGAUUGAUUUGAAGCAAGCAACCACAAAUCCUACAGCUGUACAGAACUGGAUGCUGCCAACAUGGAAACAGGAAAGUGGAUGCGUCCUUAGACAAGCCUAUGGAUGAGAACCAACUCCAGAUGAUACCUUGACUGCUGCUCUGAAAGAUCCUAAUCAUAGGACCCAAGGAAGCUCUGCCUGGACUCCGGAGUCACACAAACAGAUGUGUUGUUUUAAUCCACUACAUUCAGUGGUGGUAAAUUGUGUUACACAGCAAUAUAUAAUGAAUAUCAUGUAAGUUUGGUUUGGUAGCUGUAGACAUUAGAACAUCUGUGAGAAAGCAAGUGUCUACUUAAAAUGUGACAUUCCAAAUAAUAUCCAAAUACCUCCAGGCACCACAGUCUGAGAGAGAGAAGGAGAGAGACAGAGAGAUGGAGAGAGAGACAACGAGAAGCAAAGUGAAUAGUAGUUCAAUGGGUUGUUUUCGUUUGGAAUUUAGUGAGGUUUGGGCCAUAAGAAAUUCUAUCCCAGUGCCCAGGAGACAGAAGAUGACAGACUUGGGCUGGGAAAUAGAAACAUUUUUUAUAUCGUCUCCCUCCCUCUCCCCACCAUCUUAGCCUAUUCUCUCUGGGCGAUGGAGCACAAAGCUGUGAAUGGCCCCUUCCUGAGCCACUUGGGUUCUUAAUCCUGUGUUAGGCCCAGCUCUCCCCCUAAACUUCCUUGCUCAUUAAUAAACUUUGGACAGAACACGUAAGUGUGUGGGGAGAGUGUUUUAGAAGAGCAACCAAGAUAUCCCAAAGUACUGCUAACUUGCUGACUUUACAGAAUUUAAUUUUAUUUUUUUCACUCUACAACCUCCACAUCCUGAAUCACAUUAUACAACCACAGCAGUAGCUGGAAUAUCUAUUGAGCUGGGCGGAGGCUGCAGGAAAGGUUGAUAAUGACAUCGUUUCCCUUUUGUUGCUUUACUUAUUUUCAAUCAAAUUGACUGCUUAUUCUGAUUGGGACGUGGAAGUAUGAGUUUUAGAGGAAGCAGAAUGAAUGGAGGACCAAAAACACAAUAGUCCGGAGAAAGAGGAGGCACGUGGGCGAGAUGAUGGAGAAGUAGGGUUGAUCAGUGUAGCCAUGAACUAAGCUUACUUCACCCCCAGUUACUCAACUGGUCACACCCACUGUUGCCUGUCUGACUCUCUCGGAGCCCGUGUAAUCUGCAGUGGGCCACAUGGCCCAAAGUUUGAAAACUUGCCUAACAAUAAUAGCCACAAUUUACUGAAUGAUUACCCGAUGCCAAUUACUACGGCACACUUUAAAAAUACAUUAUCUGGCUGGGUGUGGUGGCCCACCCCUGGAAUCCCAGCACUUUGGGAGGCUGAUGCGGGUGGAUUGUUUGAGGCCAGGAGUAUGAUACCAGCCUGGCCAACACGGCAAAACCCUGCCUUUACUGAAAAUACAAAAAUUAGCUGGGUGUGGUGACACACACCUGUAAUCCCAGCUACUCAGGAGGCUGAGGUGGGAGAAUCGCUUGAACCCAGGAGGUGGAGGUUGCAGUGAGCUGAGAUCAUGCCACUGCACUCCAGCCUGGCGACACAGCAAGAGUCUGUCUUCAAAAAAAUAAGUUAAAUAAAUAAAAUAAAAUAUAUUAUUCACAUUUCACCCUUACCAGAGAAGUGAGCUCAAUUUUGACAUAAAGAUAAUUGAGACAGAAAGUUGAUUUAAAACACACUGAGUUCUGACAGCUGCUAAAAUGAAAAGCAGAGAAACAAAUCCAGGCAUCUUGACUGUAAGGCUUGAACUCCUAAUCCCUACAUUCCUAUACUUCACCCACAUUAUAUGAAAAUCUUCAGGUUUCUCUGAAGUUAGAGUUCCAU
This 2102-nucleotide long non-coding RNA is filed under the name Homo sapiens (human). RNAcentral's name for it is "HSALNT0133432". Lineage: Eukaryota; Metazoa; Chordata; Mammalia; Primates; Hominidae. The record is from RNAcentral.